GACCCAGACUAGAAGGAGGCUAGUCUGUAAAAGAAACUUACUGGAACAUCUCUGAGGGAGGGUCUGAAUCUGGAACCCGCACCACAGACUGGUUCCUCCAGAAGUGCAGGACUAACUACAUUAGCUAACAGCAAGAGAAGGUUGUUAUCCCACAGCAGGAGAAUUUGAGCCACUGGCACUGUGUGCUGGGUUUAGGGAGUAAUUAGGAGGAGUCUGGCCUGGCUUUCUCCCCCUCUCUUCCCUGGGAUAUGGAGGAUUCCUGCCCUGUGUGGUGCCCCCAAAGAUGCUGGCAAAAUUUUCCUGAGAAAAGCAAGCCACAGCAGGGAAAUGAUGGAGAAAUGGAGGCAGAAAGAGGUAUCCAGUGUCACAAAGCAAAUCAAUGGAAGAGCUGUGAAUAAGACCCAAGGCUCCUGACUCCCAGAACAGUGUCCUAUCCACUGGAUCACACUGAGAGCUAGCAGAGCCAAGUCCAUAUAUUGCUAGUAAAGAGUAAUUGUUUGCUAACGUGUUUUCAUAACCUCACUGUUUGAAUUGUGACUGCCAGUGAUAUCUUUUCUGGUUUUUAGUCUUUGUGAUUGGAGGAUGGAGCUGUGGGGUGAUCUCCUUUUCCUUCCCCCCCCCGCCCCCCCCCCCAAAAAA
Trachemys scripta elegans is the source of this 639-nucleotide long non-coding RNA. RefSeq lists it as uncharacterized. The record is from RefSeq and is a predicted model, not a curated record. Lineage: Eukaryota; Metazoa; Chordata; Testudines; Emydidae. The transcript has 4 exons.